This 419-nucleotide ribosomal RNA is filed under the name bacterium. RNAcentral's name for it is "partial 16S ribosomal RNA". It matches the Rfam family "Bacterial small subunit ribosomal RNA", at positions 355 to 776 of the family's 1533-position model. The record is from RNAcentral.
UGGGGGAUAUUGCACAAUGGGCGAAAGCCUGAUGCAGCGACGCCGCGUGGGGGAUGAAGGCCUUCGGGUUGUAAACUUCUUUUGCUCUGAACAAGGCGCACCAUGGGGUGUGUUGAGUGUAGGGGUUGAUUAGCGCCGGCUAACUACGUGCCAGCAGCCGCGGUAAUACGUAGGGCGCGAGCGUUGUCCGGAAUUAUUGGGCGUAAAGGGCUUGUAGGUGGCUGGUUGCGUCUGUCGUGAAAGAUCAUGGCUUAACUGAGGGUUUGCGGUGGGUACGGGCUGGCUUGAGUGCAGUAGGGGAGGCUGGAAUGCCUGGUGUAGCGGUGGAAUGCGCAGAUAUCAGGAGGAAUACCGGUGGGGAGGGCGGGUCUCUGGGCUGUUACUGACACUGAGGAGCGAAAGCAUGGGGAGCGAACAGG